This is a long non-coding RNA of Pseudopipra pipra, 486 nucleotides long. RefSeq lists it as uncharacterized. The transcript has 2 exons. The record is from RefSeq and is a predicted model, not a curated record. Lineage: Eukaryota; Metazoa; Chordata; Aves; Passeriformes; Pipridae.
CCUGUAGAGGAAUUGCAGGAUCAAUGCCUAAAGAUUGUCUCUUUCUCAGAAAGAUCUAAGUAAUUUUAAGGGUGCUCAAGGUACAUACAGGAGUCUGCAAAAACAGGUACAAAAAAAAAUAGUCUGUGAGGUUUUAGCCUCCAAAUGCUGAUGUCACUGUAACUCGGCAGAAGGUGCUCUAUGACCAUUUGUCAGCAUCACUGCAACUGCAGCAAUUUGCAGAGGCAAGAAGAACUGACAGGCACACAAAGCACUGUGAGAAUGAGUUAUAAUGGGAGAUGCCAGGCAUAAAAUCAUGAUCCUACCCAGAAAGGGGGCACAAAAGGGAAGCAACAGGUUUGCAGAUGAGCAUCACCAAACCAACAAAAAGAAGGCUGGAUUUCAAAGAAUGGCUCAGUUACAUAAAGGAAUGAAAAGCAGCACGGAACUGGAAAAAAAUGAAAAAUAAACCCAGAAACAUUGCAGAUGAUAGUCCAACACUCCCCA